RNAcentral lists this ribosomal RNA (468 nucleotides) under uncultured bacterium. Its description in RNAcentral is "partial 16S ribosomal RNA". It matches the Rfam family "Bacterial small subunit ribosomal RNA", at positions 28 to 507 of the family's 1533-position model. The record is from RNAcentral.
GACGAACACUGGCGGCGUGCUUAACACAUGCAAGUCGAACGGAAAGGCCCUGCUUUUGUGGGGUGCUCGAGUGGCGAACGGGUGAGUAACACGUGAGUAACCUGCCCUUGACUUUGGGAUAACUUCAAGAAACUGGGGCUAAUACCGGAUAGGAGCUCCUGCUGCAUGGUGGGGGUUGGAAAGUUUCGGCGGUUGGGGAUGGACUCGCGGCUUAUCAGCUUGUUGGUGGGGUAGCGGCUUACCAAGGCUUUGACGGGUAGCCGGCCUGAGAGGGUGACCGGCCACAUUGGGACUGAGAUACGGCCCAGACUCCUACGGGAGGCAGCAGUGGGGAAUAUUGCACAAUGGGCGGAAGCCUGAUGCAGCAACGCCGCGUGCGGGAUGACGGCCUUCGGGUUGUAAACCGCUUUCGCCUGUGACGAAGCGUGAGUGACGGUAAUGGGUAAAGAAGCACCGGCUAACUACGUG